RNAcentral lists this ribosomal RNA (253 nucleotides) under uncultured microorganism. Its description in RNAcentral is "partial 16S ribosomal RNA". It matches the Rfam family "Bacterial small subunit ribosomal RNA", at positions 524 to 776 of the family's 1533-position model. The record is from RNAcentral.
GACGUAGGGUGCGAGCGUUAAUCGGAGUUACUGGGCGUAAAGCGUGCGCAGGCGGCCCGUUAAGACAGGUGUGAAAUCCCUGGGCUCAACCUAGGAAUUGCGCUUGUGACUGGCGGGCUCGAGUACGGUAGAGGGGGGUGGAAUUCCUGGUGUAGCAGUGAAAUGCGUAGAGAUCAGGAGGAACACCGAUGGCGAAGGCAGCCCCCUGGGCCUGUACUGACGCUCAUGCACGAAAGCGUGGGGAGCAAACAGG